UACGUAGGGGCCUAGCGUUGUCCGGAAUUAUUGGGCGUAAAGAGCUCGUAGGCGGUUUGUCGCGUCUGCUGUGAAAAUCCAGGGCUUAACCCUGGACCUGCAGUGGGUACGGGCAGACUAGAGUGCGGUAGGGGAGAUCGGAAUUCCUGGUGUAGCGGUGAAAUGCGCAGAUAUCAGGAGGAACACCGGUGGCGAAGGCGGAUCUCUGGGCCGUAACUGACGCUGAGGAGCGAAAGCAUGGGGAGCGAACAGG
Molecule: ribosomal RNA, 253 nt
Filed under: uncultured bacterium
Lineage: Bacteria
Description: partial 16S ribosomal RNA
Rfam family: Bacterial small subunit ribosomal RNA
Source: RNAcentral